Molecule: long non-coding RNA, 1192 nt
Organism: Cyprinus carpio carpio
Lineage: Eukaryota; Metazoa; Chordata; Actinopteri; Cypriniformes; Cyprinidae
Source: Ensembl
GGGGCUGUGACGUGGAGUGGACGGCACAUUUGGACAGCGCUAUGGUGGCUAGUCAGACUGCUGGUGCUUUCCACAAAUACCGUAAACACUGGCAUCCCAAGACUUUUGCAAAAUUGCUUUUUUUUUGUUUAAUGUCUAUUAUACAAUACUACAAUAUAUUACUAUUAUAAUAUUAUUAAUUAUAAAUUAACAUACCAUAAUUAUCUCAUUUGAGUCUUUGCAAAGACCAUCCCCCUAGUUACUGUUGCUAUGUCUGACAAGCCAUGGCGCUCUCAUGCCACCAUGUUCUCACGCAGUGAAAAAUACAUUGCGUAGCAAAGAGGACACUGACAAUGCGCCGACAGACAAAACAGAGCAAGUUACUUUAGGUAUGAAACAAAGACUCAGCUUUCAAAUUGUGACAUUUGUAAGAAAUUCAAACAAUAAACAUUGUUUUGUGGCUCUUUAAUGUGUUGUGACAGAUGACUGUAGUGCCUCAUUUAAAGCAACACGUUUACUAGUUAUAGCAUGAAAUAAACACAAAUGAACAUCAGAAAGUAUCUUCUUUCAACCGCGGAAAGACAUCAGUACACUGUUUUUUGAAUUCAAAUCCACCAAUAUUAAUCCACUCUCUUGUCUGAUUUGUUUGUCACACAAAAAUGGCAGAUUUGGCGUUUUGAUUGGUCAGAUCAAACUCCCUGCAGAGAGUCAAUUAAUUGUAUGUUCAAUUUCAUGGUUUAAACUUUUAACAACUAAAUAUGUUAUGUGCGUCACGUGUUUUGUUGUCUAUUAUCUGUUACACUACACUGUCAUCUAAUAUUAAAUCAACCUAUCUUUUUUUUAUGUCAAAUACGUCAUAUUUAGAUCCUGUGAGUUGUGACAUUCAAGAACUGCCAUCAUUUGGACCUUUUCUACAUCAUGACAUGAAGACAGAUCUGCAUACUUGUCAUUGAUUGAUUGAUUCAUCCAUUCAAAGCUAUAACAAGAGGUAAAGAAACUAACUUAAUGAGCAAACAAUAAACUCACCCAUUUUAUUUUACAUUUUUUAACCCUCAUGAUGUGUUCCAUGAGUGGAUUUUCUUUAUUUUUUAUUUUUUCCACAAAAAUGCUAAUUAAUGAAAUUUCAUUGGACUAAAACUCAAUAAACGUACCAAAUUACUAGAAAAUUUUUUUUUAUAAUUUUUGUACUGUUUUAGGAUUUUUCUCCAACCUU